AAAAGACCAGUCUCCACUUUCCUCUGAGGAGUCUGAGUCUGAACAGAGACAUGACCCGCCCAGGGGACGGCGCAGAAGACGACACUCAAAGAACUCCCGCCUUUCAUGGAAAAGUCUGUCCUCUUCUAAACUGCUACGCUGGUCCAGAGUUUGGAGUCUUUGGUGACCCUAGGCGACGGCCUAGUGGACGCUCAGUCCCAGGCGACGGCCUAGUGGACGCU
Long non-coding RNA from Boleophthalmus pectinirostris (great blue-spotted mudskipper), 221 nucleotides. RefSeq lists it as uncharacterized. The record is from RefSeq and is a predicted model, not a curated record. The transcript is spliced from 3 exons. NCBI's taxonomy places the organism in Eukaryota, Metazoa, Chordata, Actinopteri, Gobiiformes, Gobiidae.